Non-coding RNA from Picea glauca (white spruce), 123 nucleotides. NCBI's taxonomy places the organism in Eukaryota, Viridiplantae, Streptophyta, Pinopsida, Pinales, Pinaceae. The record is from Rfam.
AUGUACAUUCCUACUGCAUGGCGUUAAUGCACCGGAUCCCAUUAGAACUCUGUAGUUAAGCGUGCUCGGGCUAUAGUAGUACUGGGAUGGGUGAUCUCCUUAGAAGUCCUAGUGUUUUACAUG